This 506-nucleotide ribosomal RNA is filed under the name uncultured bacterium. Its description in RNAcentral is "partial 16S ribosomal RNA". It matches the Rfam family "Bacterial small subunit ribosomal RNA", at positions 30 to 523 of the family's 1533-position model. The record is from RNAcentral.
AUUGAACGCUGGCGGCAGGCCUAACACAUGCAAGUCGAACGGUAACAGGAAGCAGCUUGCUGCUUUGCUGACGAGUGGCGGACGGGUGAGUAAUGUCUGGGAAACUGCCUGAUGGAGGGGGAUAACUACUGGAAACGGUAGCUAAUACCGCAUAACGUCGCAAGACCAAAGAGGGGGACCGUCGGGCCUCUUGCAAUCGGAUGUGCCCAGAUGGGAUUAGCUAGUCGGUGGGGUAACGGCUCACCUAGGCGACGAUCCCUAGCUGGUCUGAGAGGAUGACCAGCCACACUGGAACUGAGACACGGUCCAGACUCCUACGGGAGGCAGCAGUGGGGAAUAUUGCACAAUGGGCGCAAGCCUGAUGCAGCCAUGCCGCGUGUAUGAAGAAGGCCUUCGGGUUGUAAAGUACUUUCAGCGGGGAGGAAGGUGUUGAGGUUAAUAACCUCAGCAAUUGACGUUACCCGCAGAAGAAGCACCGGCUAACUCCGUGCCAGCAGCCGCCGUAA